Molecule: long non-coding RNA, 524 nt
Organism: Sphaeramia orbicularis (orbiculate cardinalfish)
Lineage: Eukaryota; Metazoa; Chordata; Actinopteri; Kurtiformes; Apogonidae
Exons: 2
Source: RefSeq, a predicted model, not a curated record
AACCUCGACAGUUGACAGGGACAGUCUGAACUGGGACGGAGGAAAGUAGACUUCUGAGAACAGAAGUGAUAAAAGCUGUGACUCCUUCCUUCUACCUGAACUUUUACAGUAUUUGUCAAUGUGGAGGACAAGUGACCGGCAUCCGACCGAAGGCGAGUUCAGCUUCUGACUUAUCCAUAAAAAAAGCAUCUUUUUUUUUUUCGUUGGAGAUGAAAUUCAGCGUCGUUUUUAAACGUCAGCACGAAAUAAGCCACUGAAAAGCCGGUCCAGUGUCCUCUAAACAUAAUGGCAGAACGAACGACUGAGUGGAAGACAGAGGACAAGUAUUCACAGUGGGGACAGUGUGAGUAUCAUCCCAGUAGAACUCCAAACAGGAAAAUGAAAACGGCUUUAACAGAAGACAGACAACCAGUACAAGAUAGUUGUUCAGUAUGACUUAUAUGUGCCACUUUCUAUGUUCUUGUUGUCUCAACUUUGUUAAAAAAAAAAAAUCAUAAUUACUAGUUUAAAGUACCUGCAGUGAA